Molecule: ribosomal RNA, 450 nt
Filed under: uncultured cyanobacterium
Lineage: Bacteria; Bacillati; Cyanobacteriota
Description: bacterial SSU rRNA
Rfam family: Bacterial small subunit ribosomal RNA
Source: RNAcentral
GGCUGGCGGCGUGCUUACACUUGCAAGUCGAACGAACUUCGGGUUAGUGGCGGACGGGUGAGUAACGCAAUCUGCCCUCAGGAGGGGGACAACAGUUGGAAACGACUGCUAAUACCCCAUAUGCCGCGAGGUGAAAUGAAUUUCGCCUGAGGAUGAGCUCGCGUCUGAUUAGCUAGUUGGUGUAGGUAAUGGCUCACCAAGGCAUCGAUCAGUAGCUGGUCUGAGAGGAUGAUCAGCCACACUGGGACUGAGACACGGCCCAGACUCCUACGGGAGGCAGCAGUGGGGAAUUUUCCGCAAUGGGCGAAAAGCCUGACGGAGCAACGCCGCGUAGAGGGAUGAAGGCCAUCUGGGCUUGUAAACCUCUUUUAUCAAGGAAGAAGAUCUGACCGGGUACCUUUGACUCGAAAUAAAUGAGCAACAGAGCAUUAAAUUUCCCCGUUGCCCAUG